This is a non-coding RNA of Marasmius tenuissimus, 100 nucleotides long. The record is from the annotation of a GenBank genome assembly. Lineage: Eukaryota; Fungi; Basidiomycota; Agaricomycetes; Agaricales; Marasmiaceae.
GGCCGCCUGGCGAAAUGGCAUCGCGUCUGACUACGAUAUCGGGUUGUCCCCGAUAAUAUGUGUAAUCAGGAGAUUGCAGGUGCGACCCCUGCGGUGGUCA